AUUGAACGCUGGCGGCAGGCCUAACACAUGCAAGUUGAGCGGAAGAAGGGAGCUUGCUCCUGGAUUCAUCGGCGGACGGGUGAGUAAUGCCUAGGAAUCUGCCUGGUAGCGGGGGAUAACGUCCGGAAACGGGAGCUAAUACCGCAUACGUCCUGAGGGAGAAAGUGGGGGAUCUUCGGACCUCACGCUUUCAGGUGAGCCUAGGUCCGAUUAGCUAGUUGGUGGUGUAAAUGCCCACCAAGGCGACGAUACGUAACUGGUCUGAGAGGAUGAUCAGUCACACUGGAAAAUAGACACGGUUCAGACUCCUACCAGGGGCAACAGUGCGGAAUAUUGCAGCAUGGGCGAAAGACUGAUCCAGGUAAGCCGUCGGUAGGAAGAAGGUCUUAGGAUUGUAAAGCACUAUAAGUUGGGAGGAAGGACAGUAAGUUUAUACCUGACGGUCAUGACGUUACCAACAGAAUAAGCACCGGCUAACUUCGUG
This 484-nucleotide ribosomal RNA is filed under the name uncultured bacterium. Its description in RNAcentral is "partial 16S ribosomal RNA". It matches the Rfam family "Bacterial small subunit ribosomal RNA", at positions 30 to 507 of the family's 1533-position model. The record is from RNAcentral.